GGGGAUGAUCGGUUUCGACAUCGUCUGUGAAGCUGCGAGAAGCGGGCCGAGGAUGCGGGGUUAUCUCGUUAACGCCCUCCGCAAACCAUAGGUGCCAAUUCCAAGCGCACCGACUUCGCUCUCGCCGCCUAAGGCAGAGUAAGGAAGUCCGUCAGACCGGGUUCGCCUUCGCCCCGGACCCUGGCGUCAUCUAGAGGGCUUGCUGCGUGAUUGUGUUUCAGGGUCACGCGGGACUUGCACUGGGACUGGGAUCGUCGAUCUAGGUGUCUGUGACAAAGAUCGGAGCCGAGUAGAACGUCUCCACAGACUGCGCCCGGAGAAGGCGCAGGUCCUCAGCGAUGGACGGGGGUUCAAUUCCCCCCAUCUCCACCA
Molecule: transfer-messenger RNA, 372 nt
Filed under: Microbacteriaceae
Lineage: Bacteria; Bacillati; Actinomycetota; Actinomycetes; Micrococcales
Also listed under: 2 other names
Description: Pseudolysinimonas sp002325245 Standard tmRNA
Rfam family: transfer-messenger RNA
About the family: Bacterial tmRNA, also known as 10Sa RNA or SsrA, is named for its dual tRNA and mRNA-like properties. Its role is to liberate the mRNA from a stalled ribosome. To accomplish this part of the tmRNA is used as a reading frame that ends in a translation stop signal.
Source: RNAcentral